UACGGAGAGGGCAAGCGUUGUUCGGAUUUACUGGGCAUAAAGCGCACGUAGGCGGAUCCGCAAGUCGAUUGUGAAAUCCCGGGGCUCAACCCCGGAACUGCGGUCGAUACUAUGGGUCUGGAGGACGAAAGGGGAGAGUGGAACUUCUGGUGGAGCGGUGAAAUGCGUAGAUAUCAGAAGGAACACCGGUGGCGAAAGCGACUCUCUGGUUCGUUUCUGACGCUGAGGUGCGAAAGCUAGGGGAGCAAACGGG
Molecule: ribosomal RNA, 253 nt
Filed under: uncultured bacterium
Lineage: Bacteria
Description: partial 16S ribosomal RNA
Rfam family: Bacterial small subunit ribosomal RNA
Source: RNAcentral